Molecule: non-coding RNA, 132 nt
Organism: Pelobates cultripes (western spadefoot toad)
Lineage: Eukaryota; Metazoa; Chordata; Amphibia; Anura; Pelobatidae
Source: the annotation of a GenBank genome assembly
GAAAGAAAUAAACAGGAAAUCUGUCCCAAUAUAUGAGGAAUCGAAAAAUAUUGAAUAAAAAAAAUAAAAUUAUUUAUUCAAUAUUUUUCGAUUCCUCAUAUAUUGGGACAGAUUUCCUGUUUAUUUCUGUUA